Molecule: ribosomal RNA, 411 nt
Filed under: uncultured bacterium
Lineage: Bacteria
Description: bacterial SSU rRNA
Rfam family: Bacterial small subunit ribosomal RNA
Source: RNAcentral
AAUGGGGGGAACCCUGAUCCAGCCAUGCCGCGUGUGUGAAGAAGGCCUUUUGGUUGUAAAGCACUUUAAGCGAGGAGGAGGCUACCGAGAUUAAUACUCUUGGAUAGUGGACGUUACUCGCAGAAUAAGCACCGGCUAACUCUGUGCCAGCAGCCGCGGUAAUACAGAGGGUGCGAGCGUUAAUCGGAUUUACUGGGCGUAAAGCGUGCGUAGGCGGCUUUUUAAGUCGGAUGUGAAAUCCCCGAGCUUAACUUGGGAAUUGCAUUCGAUACUGGGAAGCUAGAGUAUGGGAGAGGAUGGUAGAAUUCCAGGUGUAGCGGUGAAAUGCGUAGAGAUCUGGAGGAAUACCGAUGGCGAAGGCAGCCAUCUGGCCUAAUACUGACGCUGAGGUACGAAAGCAUGGGGAGCAAA